GACGCUGGCGGCGUGCCUAAUACAUGCAAGUCGAGCGAAUCUGAGGGAGCUUGCUCCCAAAGAUUAGCGGCGGACGGGUGAGUAACACGUGGGCAACCUGCCUGUAAGACUGGGAUAACUCCGGGAAACCGGGGCUAAUACCGGAUAAUAUCUAUUUAUACAUAUAAUUAGAUUGAAAGAUGGUUCUGCUAUCACUUACAGAUGGGCCCGCGGCGCAUUAGCUAGUUGGUGAGGUAACGGCUCACCAAGGCGACGAUGCGUAGCCGACCUGAGAGGGUGAUCGGCCACACUGGGACUGAGACACGGCCCAGACUCCUACGGGAGGCAGCAGUAGGGAAUCUUCCGCAAUGGACGAAAGUCUGACGGAGCAACGCCGCGUGAGUGAUGAAGGUUUUCGGAUCGUAAAACUCUGUUGUUAGGGAAGAACAAGUACCGGAGUAACUGCCGGUACCUUGACGGUACCUAACCAGAAAGCCACGGCUAACUACGUGCCAGCAGCCGCGGUAAUACGUAGGUGGCAAGCGUUGUCCGGAAUUAUUGGGCGUAAAGCGCGCGCAGGCGGUUCCUUAAGUCUGAUGUGAAAGCCCACGGCUCAACCGUGGAGGGUCAUUGGAAACUGGGGAACUUGAGUGCAGAAGANGAAAGUGGAAUUCCAAGUGUAGCGGUGAAAUGCGUAGAGAUUUGGAGGACACCAGUGGCGAAGGCGACUUUCUGGUCUGUAACUGACGCUGANGCGCGAAGCGUGGGGAGCAACAGGAUUAGAUACCCUGGUAGUCCACGCCGUAAACGAUGAGUGCUAAGUGUUA
Molecule: ribosomal RNA, 806 nt
Filed under: Bacillus sp. W036
Lineage: Bacteria; Bacillati; Bacillota; Bacilli; Caryophanales; Bacillaceae
Description: SSU rRNA
Rfam family: Bacterial small subunit ribosomal RNA
Source: RNAcentral